AAUGGCGGAGGGGCAACACCCGUUCCCAUUCCGAACACGGCCGUUAAGCCCUCCAGCGCCGAUGGUACUGGGCUCGCCCGGGAGAGUAGGACGCUGCCGGAA
RNAcentral lists this ribosomal RNA (102 nucleotides) under Candidatus Fermentithermobacillaceae bacterium. The record is from RNAcentral. Lineage: Bacteria; Bacillati; Bacillota; Candidatus Fermentithermobacillia; Candidatus Fermentithermobacillales; Candidatus Fermentithermobacillaceae.